AGGGAAUCUUCCACAAUGGACGCAAGUCUGAUGGAGCAACGGCCGCGUGAGUGAAGAAGGUUUUCGGACCGUAAAGCUCUGUUGUUGGUGAAGAAGGAUAGAGGUAGUAACUGGCCUUUAUUUGACGGUAAUCAACCAGAAAGUCACGGCUAACUACGUGCCAGCAGCCGCGGUAAUACGUAGGUGGCAAGCGUUGUCCGGAUUUAUUGGGCGUAAAGCGAGCGCAGGCGGAAGAAUAAGUCUGAUGUGAAAGCCCUCGGCUUAACCGAGGAAUUGCAUCGGAAACUGUUUUUCUUGAGUGCAGAAGAGGAGAGUAGAACUCCAUGUGUAGCGGUGGAAUGCGUAGAUAUAUGGAAGAAUACCAGUGGCGAAGGCGGCUCUCUGGUCUGCAACUGACGCUGAGGCUCGAAAGCAUGGGUAGCGAACAGGAUUAGAUACCCUGGUAGUCCAUGCCGUAAACGAUGAGUGCUAAGUGUUGGGAGGCUUCCGCCUCUCAGUGCUGCAGCUAACGCAUUAAGCACUCCGCCUGGGGGAGUACGACCGCAAGGUUGAAAC
RNAcentral lists this ribosomal RNA (555 nucleotides) under uncultured bacterium. Its description in RNAcentral is "partial 16S ribosomal RNA". It matches the Rfam family "Bacterial small subunit ribosomal RNA", at positions 356 to 900 of the family's 1533-position model. The record is from RNAcentral.